AAACUGUGAGUUCUCUAUAAAGAGAAUGAUACUCAGAGGAUUAUAAACCAUGAUUAAGGUUUACAUUAUUCUCUGAGAAAGAGCAAAAGAACAACAAAUUUUUUUUUGAAGGAGAUCAAUUAAGAGUCCCCAUGCCUAAAUUUGUCAAGCUGCAAAACCUAUUUUGGGAAUUGAUAAAAUAUUCAAAACAAUAAUUAAUCUGCAGCUUUAGAAUAUAAUUAAAAGAAGAAAUUAAAAAAAUGUCAAAAUCAAAUGAAACACAUAAAUUAGUUAAAUGAUGUAUCUUUCUUAGAGUACGAAAAACCAAAAGAAAAAAAAAUAUAUUGGAAGAACUAAAAACUUUAUUAUAAGAAAAUAGAGAUUCAAUAAGAGAUGAGAAGAAACAAAACAAGAACCAAAAGCAGAUCUGCGAAUUUAUAUUACUCAGUUUCCUAGAUUAUAUGAGUAAACGAAGUUAACUAAUCUGCAAAAACUGUAAUCAAACCAGACAGUAAUUUUAGAAAGAAUUUAAAAAAUUGUAGAAGGGAGAAAAAUAUAUAAUCUAUCUCUGAGAAAAGCCCUAGAUCUGAAUUUGUACGAAAAGAAACCCCCCCAAAAAAAAAACCUUUGAUCUGGGUAAUGAGAAACAAGAACUUUGACUGUAAUGACAAAAACCAAAAGAACGCAAAUUGUACAUAUUGUGUUAGAGAGGCAGAUCUAUAUAUACAAUAUAUAAAGAAUGAAACCCGGACAGAACAAGAAAAGUAAAUUAGCCGACGACCUUUGUGUGUGUGUUUUUAUUUCAAACCCUAUAAUCAAAUAAGAAGCCCUAGCUUAGCUUUGCUAGUGCGAGAGGUGUGGUGGCUACAGAGAUACCAACCCUAGAAGAUGUAGGAGUUGCGAGUACUGUACGCGUCCGGUUUCAAUGGCGGAUUUUUAGGGUUUCUUGAAAAUCUUUUUUUAUUUUGUUUUUUUUCUUCUUCUUUGAUUUUUUGUCUUUGUUGUUGUUGUUGUUGUUGUUUAGUUGAACCCAGCAGAGGUAGCUGCCUCAUAGCUAGUUUUUAAGUAUUAAUUUUAUGAACUUUAAACAUAAUUUUUUAAAAUAUAUUUAAGAAAGCAAAUCUUUCUUUUAUUCACAGUGAGAUUUAGCUGUGGCAAAUGUUCAUCUUUUUCUUUCCAGCAUUGCAUAUACAUGUUGAGAUCUUUUAUUUUUUAUCUUU
This 1199-nucleotide long non-coding RNA is filed under the name Capsella rubella. Its description in RNAcentral is "long non-coding RNA (CRUB_LNC003669)". The record is from RNAcentral. Lineage: Eukaryota; Viridiplantae; Streptophyta; Magnoliopsida; Brassicales; Brassicaceae.